RNAcentral lists this unclassified non-coding RNA (335 nucleotides) under soil metagenome. RNAcentral's name for it is "partial contains 5.8S ribosomal RNA, internal transcribed spacer 2, and large subunit ribosomal RNA". The stretch from base 1 to 120 matches the Rfam family "5.8S ribosomal RNA", at positions 35 to 154 of the family's 154-position model. The record is from RNAcentral.
GAUGAAGAACGCAGCGAAAUGCGAUAAGUAAUGUGAAUUGCAGAAUUCAGUGAAUCAUCGAAUCUUUGAACGCACAUUGCGCCCGCCAGUAUUCUGGCGGGCAUGCCUGUUCGAGCGUCAUUUCAACCAUCAAGCCCCCGGCUUGUGUUGGGGACCUGCGGCUGCCGCAGGCCCUGAAAACCAGUGGCGGGCUCGCUAGUCACUCCGAGCGUAGUAAUACAUCUCGCUCAGGGCGUGCUGCGGGUUCCGGCCGUUAAAAAAGCCUUAUUUACCCAAGGUUGACCUCGGAACAGGUAGGAAGACCCGCUGAACUUAAGCAUAUAAUAAGCGGAGGA